GAUGAACGCUGGCGGCGUGCCUAAUACAUGCAAGUCGAGCGAACGGACGAGAAGCUUGCUUCUCUGAUGUUAGCGGCGGACGGGUGAGUAACACGUGGAUAACCUACCUAUAAGACUGGGAUAACUUCGGGAAACCGGAGCUAAUACCGGAUAAUAUUUUGAACCGCAUGGUUCAAAAGUGAAAGACGGUCUUGCUGUCACUUAUAGAUGGAUCCGCGCUGCAUUAGCUAGUUGGUAAGGUAACGGCUUACCAAGGCAACGAUGCAUAGCCGACCUGAGAGGGUGAUCGGCCACACUGGAACUGAGACACGGUCCAGACUCCUACGGGAGGCAGCAGUAGGGAAUCUUCCGCAAUGGGAGAAAGCCUGACGGAGAAACGCCGCGUGAGUGAUGAAGGUCUUCGGAUCGUAAAACUCUGUUAUUAGGGAAGAACAUAUGUGUAAGUAACUGUGCACAUCUUGACGGUACCUAAUCAGAAAGCCACGGCUAACUACGUG
RNAcentral lists this ribosomal RNA (497 nucleotides) under uncultured bacterium. RNAcentral's name for it is "partial 16S ribosomal RNA". It matches the Rfam family "Bacterial small subunit ribosomal RNA", at positions 28 to 507 of the family's 1533-position model. The record is from RNAcentral.